CCUACGGGUGGCUGCAGUGGGGAAUAUUGGACAAUGGGGGGAACCCUGAUCCAGCCAUGCCGCGUGUGUGAAGAAGGCCCUCGGGUUGUAAAGCACUUUCAGUGAGGAAGAACGCCUGGUGGUUAAUACCCAUCAGGAAAGACAUCACUCACAGAAGAAGCACCGGCUAACUCCGUGUCAGCAGCCGCGGUAAUACGGAGGGUGCGAGCGUUAAUCGGAAUUACUGGGCGUAAAGCGCGCGUAGGUGGCUUGAUAAGCCGGUUGUGAAAGCCCCGGGCUCAACCUGGGAACGGCAUCCGGAACUGUCAAGCUAGAGUGCAGGAGAGGAAGGUAGAAUUCCCGGUGUAGCGGUGAAAUGCGUAGAGAUCGGGAGGAAUACCAGUGGCGAAGGCGGCCUUCUGGACUGACACUGACACUGAGGUGCGAAAGCGUGGGUAGCAAACAGGAUUAGAUACCCGAGUAGUC
This 465-nucleotide ribosomal RNA is filed under the name Vreelandella stevensii. RNAcentral's name for it is "partial 16S ribosomal RNA". It matches the Rfam family "Bacterial small subunit ribosomal RNA", at positions 338 to 795 of the family's 1533-position model. Lineage: Bacteria; Pseudomonadati; Pseudomonadota; Gammaproteobacteria; Oceanospirillales; Halomonadaceae. The record is from RNAcentral.